RNAcentral lists this ribosomal RNA (357 nucleotides) under Triticum aestivum (bread wheat). RNAcentral's name for it is "partial small subunit ribosomal RNA". Lineage: Eukaryota; Viridiplantae; Streptophyta; Magnoliopsida; Poales; Poaceae. The record is from RNAcentral.
AUGACUUGUAGUCACAGCUUUUCAUCAUUCUGUUGUAACAGAAUUCAGCCAUUGUGGGCCGAGGCAGAUUCCCCCAUGAAUGUUUGCCUUGCUCAAACAUACUCUUCUUUUUCAUCAAUAGUUGCCUGGUCAUAUUAUCCUCUCUUUUCUCCGCCCGAUUCUUCGAACAUAUCGAAUGGUCCCUGCACAGCAAAAGUAUCAGGAAAAAGUUGUACUAUCAUGUCGACGGUUUGCAAAAAAGAAAACCAGCGUGCAGUUUGCUGGACCGUCUACCUAAGCUACUGGUUGGUAUGGCUAGGGAUGGCAAUGGGUACCCAUUACCCACGUACCCUGCGGGUAAAAACCCUAUUAGGGUAA